UACGGAGGGGGCAAGCGUUAUUCGGAAUUAUUGGGCGUAAAGGGCGCGUAGGCGGCUAGAUGUGUCAAAGGUGAAAUCCCUCGGCUCAACUGAGGAACUGCCUUUGAAACUGUCUGGCUUGAGGCCGGGAGAGGGUAGCGGAAUUCCCAGUGUAGCGGUGAAAUGCGUAGAUAUUGGGAGGAACACCAGUGGCGAAGGCGGCUACCUGGACCGGUUCUGACGCUGAGGCGCGAAAGCGUGGGGAGCAAACGGG
RNAcentral lists this ribosomal RNA (253 nucleotides) under uncultured bacterium. Its description in RNAcentral is "partial 16S ribosomal RNA". It matches the Rfam family "Bacterial small subunit ribosomal RNA", at positions 524 to 776 of the family's 1533-position model. The record is from RNAcentral.